AAAAAUUUUCUUCGGGGUCCGCAGGGGCACUCUGAAGCGGACUGAUCUANUUUUCUUUUUCCAUCUCGGAUUUUAUGACGAGUAAGAAACCGGAAANNNCNGUUUUCUGGGGCCCUNNCUGGGGAAAAAAANNUGAAGUCAAAGUCGUAACAGGGUUUCCGUAGGUGAACUCGCGGAAGGAUCAUUAACGAGUUUGAAAUCGAGAGCCUGUUGCUGGUGCGGAAACGCACAUCGUGCACGGCUCCCGUGCUCAAUCCAUUUCAACCCCCCUUGUGCACCUUAUCGAAGUCAGUAGUCUUUCUCUUUUUGUUUGCCGGUUGUGUGUGGGAACCUCUUUCUGUUCACUUGGCCGGCGAGGAGAAACAGAGGGUCAAAAGCUUUGACUUUUCUAUUAAACACUUUGUAUGUCUUGUGGAACGUAUUAGCUCCUUUGUAGGGGCGAAAUAAAUACAACUUUCAACAACGGAUCUCUUGGCUCUCGCAUCGAUGAAGAACGCAGCGAAAUGCGAUAAGUAAUGUGAAUUGCAGAAUUCAGUGAAUCAUCGAAUCUUUGAACGCACCUUGCGCCCCUUGGUAUUCCGAGGGGCAUGCCUGUUUGAGUGUCAUGUUAAUCUCAAACCCCUUGUCUUUUUUGUUGACUUGGUCGGUUUGGACUUGGAGGUGUUGCUGGCGUGUGUCGGCUCCUCUUAAUUGCAUUAGCUGGACUUUGGUUCGCAUUUGACGGUGUAAUAGUAAAGUGUUCGCCGGGCGUGCUUGCCUAACGGGUCUGCUUCUAAUCGUCUUCGGACAACUCUGUUCAUUUUGACCUUGACCUCAAAUCAGGUAGGACUACCCGCUGAACUUAAGCUUAUCUUUAAGCGGAGGAAAAGAAGCUGACAAGGAUUCCCCUAGUAACUGCCAGUGAAGCGCGAAGAGCUCAGAUUUAACAUCUGGCGGCUAUCUGUCGUCCGAGUUGUAAUCUAGAGAGGCAUUUUCCACGU
This 980-nucleotide ribosomal RNA is filed under the name Phellinus sp. YD-2015. Its description in RNAcentral is "eukaryotic LSU rRNA". The stretch from base 452 to 605 matches the Rfam family "5.8S ribosomal RNA". Lineage: Eukaryota; Fungi; Basidiomycota; Agaricomycetes; Hymenochaetales; Hymenochaetaceae. The record is from RNAcentral.